Tribolium castaneum (red flour beetle) is the source of this 2138-nucleotide RNA transcript. RefSeq lists it as uncharacterized. NCBI's taxonomy places the organism in Eukaryota, Metazoa, Arthropoda, Insecta, Coleoptera, Tenebrionidae. The transcript has 11 exons. The record is from RefSeq and is a predicted model, not a curated record.
UGUUUUGACGCAGUAAGAAUUUUAUCUAAAUCCUGGCUUAAAUCAAAAAUUGGAUCUUUAGUCAAAACCUGACAUUGGUAAAACUAUGUCUGAACUAACAAAAGUCCAGAAAAAAUUACUCACAAUUGGUUCGUCCUUAGGAAUUUUAGAAGGAACAGUAUGGUUUCUCAUGUCUCUGGUAUGUAUAGUUGAGUAUUUAAUAAGUGAUCCCUUGAGUGGAACAAUACCGACGAGUUAUGCAGAUUAUUUUAAUAAUUUCUUCUACAGUCGCUUCCUUUACCGAAAAACAGUGAUUGAAAAUGUGAUUAUAAACCCCGACACUUUCCACUCAUUUAUGUGGAUUUAUUUCAUCCUGAAUUCAAUUUGGAUUGGACUCUCAAUUUAUGAGUUACGACUAAUUAACCUAAACGAUUCUAGAUUUUUAAAUGUCUUAAAGUAUUGGGAAGUGAACACAAUUCUAAUCUCGUUCAUUGAUUUUUUACUUGUGAUACUUCUGGGAGUUGAUUAUGAGAAAACAUGUUUCCUUGAACCAAAAAACCCACUUUUGGAAGCACUUUGCACAAAUACGACAAUCACAGUCCUGGUUGUGGCAGCAAAAGGAUUCGUUUUAUGGAUUAUUAAUGUUAUUUUUAUUUACAUUUUUUACGGAAUCAUCAGAAAAGCCAAAAUUGAAAUGCACCGAAAUCGUGACUUUUUGAAAGACCCACAAAUCCCUCGACCAACUUUGACGCGAUCUCCAAACAAGACGAACCAAAAUGUUGACAAAAACUGGAAUACAAAUACAAAUUUCGUUUAUAGUAAAAAAAACAAUCAACAGCGUUUUUCGUACGUCUAUUAAAUAUUUUUCACUUGACUCACUUUCUGCAUUUACACCUGUUAUCUCUUAUCAGUUUUAUCAUUUAUCAGUAGCAAUUAUUUGAUUUUGACACGAUAUUAUUACGUUGUGAGUAGUUAUUUAAUCGUUAUCACUUCAUUUUAAACAAGUUUAUUAUAAUAAAUAUUUACCAUUUUUUUUGACUUUCUUCAAUGUUUCCUGUAUUUCAACAGAUCAAAUAAUAUAAAUUAAUAAUUUUUUCUACUUUGAUUUCACUCCUUCGUCGUGCUCCAAAACCAUUCGUGCCACAAAAAAACUCGUAUCAUAAAAUACUAUUUUAAAAUCACAAUCAAUCACAACAAUUAACACGUUAUCAGCUCUAAAACUUAGAAAUCAAUCAGUUUUAAUCUCUAAGUGAUUGCAAGAUGGCUCGUAUAACCCAGGAACAAAUCACUUUGGGGAAAACGGCCUCAUUUUUGGGCAUUGUCCAAGGUUUAACAUGGUUUAUUAUGUCAUUGUUGUGUAUAAUAGAGUACAGUAUAAACACACUUCCUGCCCCACCUGAGACUUACAUUGAGAAAUUUAACUGGCGGGUUUAUUAUUUCUUCUUAUACAAGGAUGCCAAACUUCCACACAGUGUGAUCAUAAAACCGACCGCUUUUCUGGUUUUUAUGUGUUUUUAUAUCAUUUUGAGCACAGUUUGGGUGAUUGCAUCGUGUUGCCAACUCAGCGUGUUGAAAAAUCGUGGAUUAAAUGUGCCAAUUUUAUUCAAAGACUGGGCAAUUAUCACAUUUUUAAUUUCAUUUGUCGAUUUAAUUUUUGUUAUUUUACUUGGCUGUGAUUAUGAACAAAAUUGCCUCUAUUAUUUUGGCCAAGAAAUUUGUAUUAACACAUUUAUCCCAGUUUUGGUGAUAGCAGCCCGUGGAUUUGUUUUGUGGUUUGUUAACGUUUUUGUGGCCUGGAGGACGUUCAAAAACGCCAAAAUUUUAAGAGAGGGUGGUCCUUAUGCAAAUACGUUCGGAGGAAUUAUACCUAUUUAUAACAAGUCAACAGACAGACGGAUUCCUCGAGUUACAGUGCCUGCAUCUCCCAGUUUGUAUAAUCAACAAUUUGGAGUUGUGAGUAAAGAAAGGAAUUUUUGGAACGUAAAUUUGAGGACUGCAAUGGAUAAUAGAACACCUCCGGUCACACCUUCAACGCCUUAUUAUAACAAACAGCCGUUUUUUGCUAGAUAAAUUUAAAUAAUCUGGACUUUGGUCUCUUGUUAGAUAUUAGAUAAGUUCGUAUUUUUCAAGGAAUCAAACAAUGAAUUUUUUAAAUUUAA